This 636-nucleotide long non-coding RNA is filed under the name Marmota monax (woodchuck). Lineage: Eukaryota; Metazoa; Chordata; Mammalia; Rodentia; Sciuridae. The record is from RNAcentral.
GGCAGAGCAGCGCUUCCUCGGAGGGAUCAUGGUACAAGGAGUGGACAGGCUGCCGGCCCUCGGGCCAUGUCCCACCUCUGGAAGGGCUGUUGUGUGCGACUUUUCCUUGCUGCGGUGCCUUGGCUGGACCUGUGGUGUGGAAGUGGUUUCCUGGUGGUUCUCUAUUACACGAAGCUGGGGCCCGUGUCACUGUGUGGUGUUCUUGUGGCAGAUGCUGCUGUCUCAGGACAGCUGCCCUCCUGCCUUCCUUGUGGGGUCUGUUCUGUCCCCCUGGGUCCUUUCUGGGCAUUCCCUUGCUCCCAGUCCUGCUUCUCAGUUUUGAACUUUAUCGUCAUGUGUUUUCUGUAACCAGGAAGUUCUCAGUGUCCCUCUGUUUGUUUCAGUUUCUGCUCUGGUUUGAGAAGGUGACCCUAGCUGUGCCGUUGGAAGCCUUCUUCGUGCCCUGUGCCUGCUUGGGAUUCCUUUCUCCAGUUCUUCUUGUUGCGUCCUCUUUUUGGUAGUCACUGGGUUUAUUUUACACCAGGUGGUGGCACGCAGCAGUCUUCCUGAACAAAGGUGGCCUAGGUCCAGUGUUUGGAGCAAUGCGUGUGUGGUGAGGGUCCACCCAGUACACUGUGCUGUGGUCCAGAUGUUCGC